RNAcentral lists this ribosomal RNA (338 nucleotides) under uncultured Spirochaetota bacterium. RNAcentral describes it as "bacterial SSU rRNA". It matches the Rfam family "Bacterial small subunit ribosomal RNA", at positions 29 to 351 of the family's 1533-position model. Lineage: Bacteria; Pseudomonadati; Spirochaetota. The record is from RNAcentral.
AACGAACGCUGGCGGCGCGUCUUAAACAUGCAAGUCGUACGGGAACCCUGGUGCUUGCAUUGGGGGGAGAGUGGCGAACGGGUGAGUAACACGUGGAUAAUCUGCCUCUAGGUUUGGGAUAACUACUCGAAAGGGUAGCUAAUACCGGGUAAGAUGGUAGGUACACAAGUACCAGUCAUUAAAGGUGGGGACCGCAAGGCCUACCGCCUGGAGAUGAGUCCGCGGCUGAUUAGCUUGUUGGCGGGGUAACGCCCACAAGGCAGCGAUCAGUAGCCGGCCUGAGAGGGUGAACGGCCACACUGGGACUGAGAUACGGCCCAGACUCCUACGGGUGGCAG